AGAGCCCCCCCCGCCGCGCGCGCACGCCUGACGUCAGCGGCCAGCGUGAGUCACGCGCGCAGGGAGAGCGCGAGGCGGCCUCUCCCUCCCCCCCCUUCCUCCUCCGGCCCGGCCCAGACCGGUUCCAACCUGCUGGGGCCGGUCCCAACUGCCUCCAACUGCCACCAACCCCUGGUCGGGCCGUGGGGCGGGAAAGCCGGGCCCCGCCGCUGAGUGGGGAAGGCGGGAGUGCGGGGUGCGGAGAGCGCACGUCUCAGGCCGGGCCUGUGAGGCCUAACUGUUUCUCAGACCGUAAAACCACAGUAUCAGGCCCUUGGGGGGCGAUCAGAAGCCCAGCCCAGAACCAGGAGGAGCGCCCCGGGGGCCGGCCCUGCCGCCGCUGCGAAUGACGGAUGGCGCGAGGUUCUGUCAGGCGCCCCGCGUUCCGUGCCCGGGAGGCCUUUUGUGUCCCCGAAGCCCGUAUGUUGCCUGUGGAGGCCCCUCUUGCUUGGAACUCGCAGGGACAGCCGACCCGGCCUGAGUCGGGGACCCCGAGGGCGAUGGGGUCCGAGCGCGUCUUCAGGCCCAAGCGAAGUACGGUAGCAGAGGGAACCCCGACGCUCGCCCCGCAGGAGUCCGGGAGAUGGAAAACCCGCUCCCUGGGCAUCUGCCUGUGUCUGAGGGGAGGUCCCUGCCGCCUCGUGUCCUUCGAGGCACGUUAAAGGACCACCUAGUGCGAGGUGCCUCGGAAGAAAGCAAGCUGCAGAGGCGGGCCCUCCUGUUCAGCAAAAUGUUGGUUUCCAGCCCCCCGUCCCCCGCCUCCAAUGCUCCUUGCGCGCCUCGCCUCCGCUUGGGGCUCCCAGGUGCUGUGCGUGUUUAGAAGACCCCCAGGUGGACCUGAGGCUGGCAGCCCUGGAGAGCCACCCAGUACUGCCCCCCGGUGAGCCGGGAGCAGAGACAGGAGGAGCUCCUGUUUGUCACUCACCGGAGUAAGCCCCGUUAGGAAGCUGUUCUGGGAUUGGGGGACAUGGGUUUUAGGAAGCGUAUUGGUUUCUUUGUGAGGUUCCCUGCUAUUGGUUGAAAGAAGUUGAAGCUCUGUCUUUUCUUGGCUACAGUCGGACUCGUGUUAACUGUUACUUUUCUACUGUGGCCAUUGCUUUGCGGGUCCUUUCUCCCUGGAGUUGUUUCUGCUGUCCUUCCAUCGGUUUUGGUGAAAUGAUCUUACCUUAGAGACUUCUGAUCGGUUGAGUGGUUUGGUCAAGCCACAGUAUGGUUUUGAUUUGAAAAUCUGCAGACUUCCCAUGCUUUUUAAAGUGGUUGCUCGCAUCAUAUUUUUCAGUAACAUACAAUACUUGGGGUUAUGUUUCAGCAACCUCUGUACGUUGUGUUGUCAUUGAGUAGACUGUGGAAUCUGUAUUAGAAGGGUUUUCUUACCAUUUGGAAUUGACAGAUGAAACAAGUCAACAUCUGUGUAAAUGUUAAUAACUGAUUUUUUGUUCUGUUGAUGCUUAUUUGUUUAAAAUCUCUUUCCAUUGCUUAUGGGGUAAGUGCAGAGUAAUCACUCUUGACUCUCAAGGUGGCUUAGAAAUCAACAGAAAGCCCAAGCUUGACUAGGUGAUUGGAGGUUGUGGGUGUUCCCAUCUUUUUAUUUCCUGUUAAGUCUUCAUUUGCAUAUUUGUUUACAUUUUUAUUUCCGAAAAUCAGAGGUAGACAUCUGUUGUCUUCCUUGGUAGAUUUAUGGGCUUUCAGAAGCUUUGAUGAUUUGGAAAACUUCAUUUCCUUGUCAUCUGAGGUCUUAGGAGCACAGGGAGUUUGAGGAUACAGAUGAUGGCACCUGUACACACACUGGCACUGAUUUUCUUUUCUUUUUUCUUUUUCUCUCUCUUUUUUUUUUUUUUUUUUUAAGGUGAGCCCAUUUGUUACCCUUGGAGGUUAGACCACAGGAAUAUUUUUGUUUUUCUUUUAAUAUUUAAAAUUUUGAGCUGGCCAGUAUUUUUUAAAUUCUCACUUGCAACAUGAAUUUCCAGAAUUUGUACCAGUCGAAUAUGGCCUUAUAUAUUGCAUAGAUCCCUUUAUGGAAUAGAGAUAUAAACCCUUUGUGUGUGUGUGUGUGUGUGUGUGUUUUUGUUUUGUUUUGUAUGUUUGUAUUUUUUUACUGGUUAAUUUUUUUUUUAACUUUUUAAAACUUACUUGUACAUAAAUUACACUAACUUUGUGUGUUUUAUAUGCCUGAUAUUAUUUGAGAUAACGUGCUAUGCAACCAUCUUUGCACUAAUCCAGAAGAAACCUCUUAAAACUGAGUGCCACUCGAAGCACCUGGCUGGCUCAGUCAGAGCAUGUGACUCUCGAUCUUGAGGUUGUAAGUUCGAGCCCUGCACUGGGUGUAGAGAUUACUUAAAAAAUAAAUAAACUUCAAAAAAAAGUUUAAAAAUUGAGUGCCACUCAUCAUAAUGGCAGACAGUCUUGGUAAACUUGGUUGAAUCUACCAAAAAUAAAUAUUGCCUUUCCAUAGGCAGUAUUCCAUAGGCAUUGCCUUGCCUUCUUGCCCCACAGAUAAAAUCCUAGAAUUUGAGCUCUUUUUCCUAAACCAAGAGGAGUAUUCAUAACAUAGUUUGAAUGAUAGUUUUGUUGGUGUAUUCCCCCUAAACUCAUGAAUAAUCUUGCUUUAAGAAAAACUUUGAAAUAAUCCUUUUAGCCAAUUGGUAUAGUCGGCACUUGUGCUAGACCAGAGGAAUUCAGCCCUUUAGAAAAUGGCUGUUAGAAUUUCCUCUUACUCAGCUCCAAGUGUCCGAUAGCAAGCAGUCAGAUGAUAGAUAAUGUGCAUGUAUCAGUCCUCUCUUCCAGUACAAGAACCACCUGACGUCUUGCUAGCUAUGUUAGAUACUAAAGAAGGCUUCCCCACAAUCCAUUUGCAUCUGCUUUGACUGGUGGUUUCUAUCAACCUACAAAGACUGACUUAUUGGUGAGGGCAGCUGGACAACUCUGAGAGCAACUUAGAGAAAUCCAUCUUGGGCACACUCUAUAAAGGAGCUCCUUCUCUGGAAAUAGCACCCCAGAUAAGUGCACAAAAGCAAGACACCCUCGUGGACCUACUUCCUCCCGCUUUCAACACCCUGAUGCCUGAAGCUAUGCUUGAUACUAAAGGAGGUUUCCUACAUUUGCAUCUUCUGUAUUUUGAAAUUGCAACUAUGGACAGUUAUGGCUAAUCCUAGUAGAUUGUCUUCCCUUCUUUUAACAUCUUGGAUGAAUUUGGGGCACACUAAUGUGUUAAGUGAAGAUGGAUGUUGAAUAGAUACUGUGUAGAUUCACACCAGCCAGCCAUCUUAAAAUACCUGCAUGGGCCACAGAGAUAUCUGCGGAGAAAGUGUGGGUAAAAUCAGUACAUAUGAUAAUAGGUGAAUGACCCGUGUUCUAGGUCCGUGGAGAUCCUUUGAGAUAAGAAGUGCAUAUUCAGCAAGUUUGAGACUCCUGGAUGUUGGUGCUUGUACUUCACUUUGUCUCUGAAUUGGUAGCCGUUGUAAGGAACAAGCCCGUUGUCCCCACUGCCUUUGUAAAAACGAACUGAGCUUCCUAGGGUGGGUGGGAGAUAGAAAGUUGUUCUUGCUGAAAUGUGAUGAAUUUCACUCUCAGGUAGUUUAUGGUGUUUUAAUGUUCACAUUGACAUUUCUUUAAGGACGAGCCACGUGUUUUAGGCAUUUUAAAUUCUAUCAGUGGCUAUAUUUUAGUUCUAAUAAUCACAAAUUUUUUAUUAUUUCUUUAUACAAUCCCUCAACUUUCACCCCUUUUUUCUUUGCCAGUGUGUAGAAUUUGACAGCAGUAUCAAGAGCUGAUGAGGAAGAGAAGAUGGAAAGGAGUCUAGCGACUUAAAAAUCUCAUAGCAUUCUCUGUGAGGUGACCUUUUUCCUGCUGGGGCUCAACUUAUUUAGGAGAUAAAGAAGAUACUCAGGCCUGUGAUAGUAUCAACAUGUCCUAUCUGAGCUUAUUGAAAUGUUUCAUCCCUUUCCUUAUUCUUUAUAUUACAGUUUACUUUUUGUGUUCCUAAGUCGACUCAUUUGUUUCCUACUAGUAUUUGAAACACCAUGUGGCCAACAUGAGUCCUAACAAAUUGACUUCUGAUGAGGAGGGGAAAGGCCCAUGUGCCCACCUUCCGGUGAGAUUUUGGCUUUGUCACAGAACUACCCCCAUGGAGGAGAUGUAGCUAUGCUUAGCAAAGAAGAGGUUGAGAAAAUCUUUUGGCCUGGUGUUUUAUGAUGUAAAAGUUUCAAAUAGUAGUUUUUAUAUGUAUUUUGCAGAAAAAUAUUUGAAUCCACUGUUACUGAACUGUUAGAGUCAGCAAUGAACUUUACUUCCUCUCGUGGACUUCACCAUGAUAGUCAAUGCCAUGACCUUUUGUUAGAGAAGCUGAAUAUUCUGGCAUGCCCUACUAUACCGUAGUCCGAUGGCUGAACAGUGGUAAAGUUUUAUUGUGAAUUCCUGAGUUCAGGGCUGAUGCUGAAACUUUUCUGAAUGAGAAGAAUGAUUCUCAGCCACUAUUCUUGAAUGUUGAAAAGCUUUGGAAAUUGGCUUUUUCUGCAUACUUGAUAAGCCUAAAAUUGCAAGGCAAACAGCCUCUUUGCAAAUCUUAAGUUGUAGUAAAGUUUCUUCGACAUCUAAUGUUUGAAUCAUGUCAUGUCAAGCUACUUUAUACACUUCAGUUUAAAGGCAAGAUUUCCAUUCCUACACAAAGUUACUGUGGGUGAUUUCUGAACACAAACUACUGUUCCAGCAGUGAUCUUGCUGCUGGAUGUGGAUGCAAAAGAAAUUUCCUUAUUUCAGAAUCCAUUUACCUGUGCAACUAAAGAGUUUACACCAAACCUUCGACUGGAAGUGAUUAAAAGGCAACUAUCAAGACUCUAAUAGAAUUCUAUAGUUGUCUUCUAAGAGAAGAAUGUGCUCGAUUAAAAUCACGC
Long non-coding RNA from Mustela erminea (ermine), 4928 nucleotides. RefSeq lists it as uncharacterized. The transcript has 6 exons. The record is from RefSeq and is a predicted model, not a curated record. NCBI's taxonomy places the organism in Eukaryota, Metazoa, Chordata, Mammalia, Carnivora, Mustelidae.